AUGUGCGUGCGGAUCUCCCGCAACACCUACCCCAACCUCCGCGCCCUCCGCAACGCCUCCCAUGUCGGUCUCACCGACGCCCCACAUGUCAAGAUCUCCGAGGGCGACUUCGGACACAUCCUUGACGACGUGCCCCACCUCGCUGACUACUACAUUCCGAUAUGGAGUAUUGGUUCUCCUGAUCCUAACUUCACAUUAGAUGGCCACUCAAAAGGCGUGAACCGUGUUGAUUACUUCACCGGUGGUGAUCGACCAUUUUUUAUUACUGGAUCUGAUGAUCAGACUGCAAAGAGAUGUGUUCAAACACUUGAAGGAUAUGCACACAAUGUGUCUGCUGUCUGUUUCCAUCUAGAACUACCUAUUAUAAUUACUGGCUCAGAGGAUGGCACAGUUCGCUUGUGGCACUCUACAACCUACAGGCUUGAGAACACUCUUCAUUAUGGUCUUGAGCGAGUUUGGGCUUUAGGAUACAUGAAGGGGUCAAGAAGGAUUGUGAUUGGAUAUGAUUUAGGGAAAAUUAUGAUAAAAAUUGGCCGUGAAGUUCCAGUUGCUAGCAUGGACAACAGUGAAAAAAUCCUAUGGGCAAAACAUAAUGAAAUCCAAACUGUUAGUAUCAAGACUGUUGGUGCAGGCAAUGAGGUUCUUCUUCUUUGCCAUGUUAAAUGUGCAGGAUUGUCUGUCGUUAGUUUAGCUGCUACGUCGGAUCUGAUGCUGUUUUCGCCGAUAUAUAGGUUUCUAGGUAUCUGCUGCAAGGCUUGGAUUGACGAUCUUGAGACGGCCCUCACGGGAGUGGUCGUCGCCCCCGGUCAACUAUGGUCACCUCCGUUAGCACCCACCGGCAGGAUCCCCCUCCCCCUCGCCUCCCCCUUAUCCACCAUUUCAUGUCCACCACUGGGAGGAGCGGCGGUUGCCGCUGGCGCAUAUGCAAAGCCUGGAGACAUCGCCAUCGACGGGAGGAGAAGGACUGUCUUCGUCGCGUUUGUGCACUUCCGUGAAGAGGACAACUCGAGGUGA
Molecule: ribosomal RNA, 1014 nt
Filed under: Triticum aestivum (bread wheat)
Lineage: Eukaryota; Viridiplantae; Streptophyta; Magnoliopsida; Poales; Poaceae
Description: partial small subunit ribosomal RNA
Source: RNAcentral